ACUCCUACGGGAGGCAGCAGUGGGGAAUAUUGCACAAUGGGGGAAACCCUGAUGCAGCAACGCCGCGUGAGUGAUGAAGGUCUUCGGAUCGUAAAGCUCUGUCUUCAGGGACGAUAAUGACGGUACCUGAGGAGGAAGCCACGGCUAACUACGUGCCAGCAGCCGCGGUAAUACGUAGGUGGCGAGCGUUGUCCGGAUUUACUGGGCGUAAAGGGAGCGUAGGCGGAUUUUUAAGUGAGAUGUGAAAUACCCGGGCUCAACUUGGGUGCUGCAUUUCAAACUGGAAGUCUAGAGUGCAGGAGAGGAGAGUGGAAUUCCUAGUGUAGCGGUGAAAUGCGUAGAGAUUAGGAAGAACACCAGUGGCGAAGGCGACUCUCUGGACUGUAACUGACGCUGAGGCUCGAAAGCGUGGGGAGCAAACAGGAUUAGAUACCCUGGUAGUC
RNAcentral lists this ribosomal RNA (443 nucleotides) under uncultured bacterium. RNAcentral's name for it is "bacterial SSU rRNA". It matches the Rfam family "Bacterial small subunit ribosomal RNA", at positions 335 to 795 of the family's 1533-position model. The record is from RNAcentral.